This 301-nucleotide ribosomal RNA is filed under the name uncultured bacterium. RNAcentral describes it as "bacterial SSU rRNA". It matches the Rfam family "Bacterial small subunit ribosomal RNA", at positions 505 to 805 of the family's 1533-position model. The record is from RNAcentral.
GUGUCAGCCGCCGCGGUAAUACGUAGGGUGCGAGCGUUAAUCGGAAUUACUGGGCGUAAAGCGUGCGCAGGCGGUUUGUUAAGAUAGGCGUGAAAUCCCCGGGCUCAACCUGGGAACUGCGUUUAUGACUGGCAGGCUAGAGUAUGGCAGAGGGGGGCGGAAUUCCUAGUGUAGCGGUGAAAUGCGUAGAUAUUAGGAGGAACACCAGUGGCGAAGGCGGCUUCCUGGCAUACAACUGACGCUGAGGCGCGAAAGCGUGGGGAGCAAACGGGAUUAGAUACCCCGGUAGUCCACGCCGUAA